Molecule: long non-coding RNA, 392 nt
Organism: Hibiscus syriacus
Lineage: Eukaryota; Viridiplantae; Streptophyta; Magnoliopsida; Malvales; Malvaceae
Exons: 4
Source: RefSeq, a predicted model, not a curated record
UACGGAGGAUGCAAUUAGCUCUAAUUAUAUCCGUCUUACGCUGAAAUGGCAUCCAGACAAGCAAAAAGACGAUGAGAAUAGCGCCACUUCAAGAUUUCAAGAGAUAAACGAGGCUUAACAGGUUCUCAUUGAUCCAGUCAAAAGGAAUGAGUAUGACAAGAUGAAGGUAUUGUAUGCAUAUGACUAUGGCAUAAUUGAGUACCUUAACCAUUACAAAGGCCUUAUAUUAACAUGUAAUGGUCUUGGGGUUAGGCAAUCGAUUUGGUAAUUCCCUUCUGUUUAUUGUCACAAUGCUCAAACUGAGAGGGACAGAUUUGUUGAUAUUACAAACAACGCAGUUGAGAUGAGAACAAGCUUGAUAUGUUAGAUAUCAGUUGUGUAUAUGAAGUAGA